UUUCCUUUGCUCCUUCUUCCUAUUUGGUCCACCUCUACCUCCCUGCCGGCAGCGGCGUUUCCCAGGAUCCCGUUCGAGCCUCUCUGUGCUGCUACUGCUCGUCCUCCCGCUCCUGUACCUCCUUGUGUCCCCACCAACACCUUCCCCUUUGCGCCACACCCCAACCCCACCAAGGCCUCCUCCAUGGUCGUCUGCGCGCCGCUAGACCUCCACCCACCGCUCGGUGAAGUCAGGUGGUCCUUCCUCCUCGUCGCCUCCGCCACGGACGCUGCCGCACAAGGAGCCCUGUUUUCUGCAUAGCUUUGAGCUUACUGUCCAAACAACUUGCAGACACCAUGCACUCCUUUAAUUAUCGCGACAGAUUGUUCAGGUUUGAUUGCUGCACAUUAGGUUAAUUACUACACCUUUAGUUCCAUUAUGUUUGUUUGUACAGAAUUGAUGUAAAAAUACCAUAUGAAUAAUCAAACUUGUCUCCUAAAUUGUGUCACCUCUGGUCUUCUUGUGAAGAACCAGUUCAUGCAUCAAUUCUUAUAUCUGUAAGAAAAUGUCAGAAUAUGGAGACAAAAAGAAAAUCAGGAACCAAUGACUUGGUACUUUAUGCAAGGCAUUACUCUGAUAUGAAAUAUAUGGAUGCCAGAAUGUAGCCUUGUAUUUACGUGUUUUGACUUGUUUACUACUCAUCUACUCCUAUUAAUGGCUCAACAUCUUUUAUUUGAAGUAGAACUGAUCACAAGUUUCGGGGCCUCUGUUAUUUAUAAACGAUCUUUGAUUUCUACGCUAUAACAGUUAUAUUGACUAAAUAGUGCCUUGCUAUUUUCCAUCGUUUGCCUAGGCAGGUCUUGGGAGAGUGCUAGAGAUACCAAAAUGUCACGUGGAAUACUGAACUAGUUGCAUCAGUCAUAACAACAGUUGGGGAAAGAACAUUUGGCUGCUUUAGGUGGUUCCCUCCAAAGCCAUAGUCUGGAAUCAUAAAGGAAGGGCAACCAGUUAAGUGGUUCUUUCCUCUUUGUUCCUUUGCAUAUUCAUCUGUCCUUAUGAUUCCAGAUUAUAGUCAAAAUAUGUCAGGUAGCUAUAUAGUGUUCCUUGCUCUUCAGAGAUAUGGUUGGUAUGUACGUUCUUCUUGUUGUACCAUCUAUAUGGUAAUUUGCAGUCUAGUUUAUAAGGCACCAUAUGGUGUUUCUUAAGUAACUUGAUAUGUUUACCCUUCAAAUUGUCUUUGUAAACUGCAUGUACCUUUGACAACUCGCGUCCGGAUUCCGCUCAGCCGGUUCGCACCAUCCAACUACUCCAAGUUGCUGCUUCGGCAUUGGCUGGCUGCCCAACCUUAGGUUGCUUUUAAUUCCUUUAGUCGAGGUUUUAAUUUACUUUAGAGGAGCUUUCAUUUUUUUCUUAGUUCUUUUGAGAUGAGCUUUACAUUUUGCUGACCUGAGAUGCUACUUAACUAUUUUUUGACAUGGUAUUUCAAUUUCUAGGGAGGAGCUUUCAAUUUUCUUAAGACGAGUUAUUGUUUUAUUCUUGUCAUGAGCUUUUAGUUUUUAAGGAUUGACUUCAA
Long non-coding RNA from Brachypodium distachyon (stiff brome), 1552 nucleotides. RefSeq lists it as uncharacterized. Lineage: Eukaryota; Viridiplantae; Streptophyta; Magnoliopsida; Poales; Poaceae. The transcript has 2 exons. The record is from RefSeq and is a predicted model, not a curated record.